ACGGGUGAGUAACGCGUGGGUAACCUACCCAACAAACCGGGACAACCCUUGGAACCGAGGGCUAAUACCGGAUACGCUUAUAAGUUGGCAUCAACGUAUAAGGAAAGGUGGCCUCUGAAUAUGCUGCCGAUGAUGGAUGGACCCGCGUCUGAUUAGCUGGUUGGUGGGGUAAAGGCCUACCAAGGCGACGAUCAGUAGCCGGCCUGAGAGGGUGAACGGCCACACUGGGACUGAGACACGGCCCAGACUCCUACGGGAGGCAGCAGUGGGGAAUCUUCCGCAAUGGACGAAGGUCUGACGGAGCAACGCCGCGUGUAUGAUGAAGGUCUUCGGAUUGUAAAGUACUGUUUUUAGGGAAGAACGGUCUCUUCAGGAAUAUGGAGGAGACAUGACGGUACCUAAGGAGGAAGCCCCGGCUAACUACGUGCCAGCAGCCGCGGUAAUACGUAGGGGGCGAGCGUUGUCCGGAAUUAUUGGGCGUGAAGGGCGCGUUGGCGGGUAUUUAAGUCCGGUGUGAAAGAUCAGGGCUCAACCCUGAGAGUGCAUCGGAAACUGGGUAUCUUGAGGACAGGAGAGGAAAG
RNAcentral lists this ribosomal RNA (581 nucleotides) under uncultured bacterium. RNAcentral describes it as "bacterial SSU rRNA". It matches the Rfam family "Bacterial small subunit ribosomal RNA", at positions 102 to 661 of the family's 1533-position model. The record is from RNAcentral.